AGCUUAUUGAAUUUAUAGUAAGUAUUUUCUGCCCGGUGAUUUUUUUAACGGCCGCGGUAUUUUGACCGUGCAAAGGUAGCAUAAUCAUUUGUUUUUUAAUUGGGGACUGGAAUGAAUGGGUAUACGUAGUGAAUAUUGUCUCUUUAUUUUAAGUUGAAUUUUCUUUUUAGAUGAAGAAGUCUAGAUUUUUAGAUAAGACGAGAAGACCCUAUUGAUCUUUGUAUUUUUUUGUUAUAAUUUCAUAUUGUUUUUAUUUCUUUUAAUUUGGUUGGGGCAACUGAGGAGGUUUUUAUUUCUCUUUUAUUUUAUUUUGAUCCAGUAUUAGUGAUAGUAAGAAUUAGUUACCAUAGGGAUAACAGCGUAAUUUUCUUGGAGAGUCAUAUCGAUAAGAAUGAUUGCGACCUCGAUGUUGGAUUAAAGUUACCUGGGGUGUAGGUUUUUCUUAGGGAAGUCUGUUCGACUUUUAAAAUUUU
RNAcentral lists this ribosomal RNA (473 nucleotides) under Tubulanidae sp. Vema6. RNAcentral's name for it is "partial 16S ribosomal RNA". It matches the Rfam family "Bacterial large subunit ribosomal RNA", at positions 1831 to 2597 of the family's 2925-position model. Lineage: Eukaryota; Metazoa; Nemertea; Palaeonemertea; Tubulaniformes; Tubulanidae. The record is from RNAcentral.